Molecule: non-coding RNA, 862 nt
Organism: Cricetulus griseus (Chinese hamster)
Lineage: Eukaryota; Metazoa; Chordata; Mammalia; Rodentia; Cricetidae
Source: RefSeq, a predicted model, not a curated record
GUGUGUGUGUGUGACUUGUGUGUGUGUGACGUGUGUGUGUGUGUGACGUGUGUCUGUGUGUACGUGUGUGUCUGUGUGUACGUGUGUGUCUGUGUUUCCUACCGUGUAGCGCGGUAAAGUUGAGUGGCGAGCGCGCUCGCUCGUGUGUGACUGAGACUGAGAAGAAACAAUAAUCUGUUCAAGUUUGCUUAUUUGACUUCAGGACUUGGAUGCUCAGACAUCGCACUCCUGGAAUGCUGGAAGGAGGAGCUGCAGUGCUGACCGCUAGUUUACACAAGAUUGCAGUGUGCUAGAUGCCCAGAAGUCCCUGCUGAGUCUUGAGAUGUGUAUGGACAGUAAUCCUGCAACUUGUUUGACCUGUCUCUAACCUCAAGGCCCUGGACUAUCAUGAUGGUUCAGAGGUAAAGGUGUUUGUCUUGCUGGGUGGUGGCGGCACACACCUUUAGUCCAGCACUCAGGAGGCAGAGGAAGGCAGAUCUUUGUGAGUUCGAGGCCAGCCUGGUCUACAGAUCGAGUUCCAGGACAGGUUCCAAAGCUACAGAGAAAAAAAAACUGUCUCGAAAAACCAAAACACAACAACAACAAAAAAAGUGUUUUGUCUUGUAAGCCUGGUUGUGUGAAUUCGAUGUCCAGAAUCCAUAUAAAGGCAAGUGGAGGCCAAAGAAGAAGCACAGUUCAUCCCUGGGGGCUCAAGCUACAGUAAACUUACCCAGUGUGGCCUGACUAGUUUUCUUAUGAAUGAGAUAAUCAGAAACUUGUUUAGCUUGAAACAGUGCAAAUAACUUGUAACAAAGGCAGGAGGAAGAGAGUUGAUGAAUCUUUGUUCUGGAAUGGGCAUGGUAUCAUAAUGUUAUAGCAAAUA